This 94-nucleotide transfer RNA is filed under the name Rosa chinensis. RNAcentral's name for it is "tRNA RchiOBHm_Chr6g0299551". The stretch from base 2 to 85 matches the Rfam family "tRNA". Rfam says of the family: Transfer RNA (tRNA) molecules are approximately 80 nucleotides in length. Their secondary structure includes four short double-helical elements and three loops (D, anti-codon, and T loops). Further hydrogen bonds mediate the characteristic L-shaped molecular structure. tRNAs have two regions of fundamental functional importance: the anti-codon, which is responsible for specific mRNA codon recognition, and the 3' end, to which the tRNAs corresponding amino acid is attached (by aminoacyl-tRNA synthetases). tRNAs cope with the degeneracy of the genetic code in two manners: having more than one tRNA (with a specific anti-codon) for a particular amino acid; and 'wobble' base-pairing, i.e. permitting non-standard base-pairing at the 3rd anti-codon position. The record is from RNAcentral. Lineage: Eukaryota; Viridiplantae; Streptophyta; Magnoliopsida; Rosales; Rosaceae.
AGUCAGGAUGGCCGAGUGGUCUAAGGCGCCAGACUCAAGUUCUGGUCCUCUAACGAGGGCGUGGGUUCAAAUCCCACUUCUGACAUUAAAACGG